RNAcentral lists this long non-coding RNA (1711 nucleotides) under Cottoperca gobio. RNAcentral describes it as "lncRNA (ENSCGOG00000016194.1)". Lineage: Eukaryota; Metazoa; Chordata; Actinopteri; Perciformes; Bovichtidae. The record is from RNAcentral.
UUAUUCCAAGAAUAUCUUGGUAAUUUUGAGCUCCACAUCCCGGUUAUUAAGUAUCAUAUAUAACUGUCUACAGAGAGAGAGAGAGAGAGAGAGAGAGAGAGAGAGAGAGAGAGAGAGAGAGAGAGAGAGAGAGAGAGAGAGAGAGAGACAGACAGACAGACAGACAGAGAGAGACAGAGAGAGACAGAGACUGCACUGUUUCCUUUCUCUUCUGUUUUCCUGUUGUUGGCAUCUUGAUCUGAUGUCGUCUCUCCACCUGCCUGUCAGUCUGUAUGUCUGUAUUUCUUCUUCCUUUACUUGCUGUUCAUUGUGACUGUGAUGGAUUUCAGGACUGUUGUGACCAUCUUAACUCUUUUACUCAUGACUGCUGAAUCAGAACAAACAACACUUGGGCCAAACAUCACAGAGACUACCUUCCCUACACAGACUCACAGCACCGGCAGGGACUGGGUCACCCCCAAUACUACUGCCACUGCUGGCAUCACCUCCAAUCCCAGCAGCUCUGCACCUGCCAUGGGCCUCCUCAUAAUCAGAUGGACGAGUGAAUGUGAAGGAGACGUUAACCUGAUCCUCUAUCAUCGCCCUGAUUCCUCCUCUCCUGUCUGUUAUGGCAGUGAAACCAACAUCAUGAUUAUUUUAAGAAAUGUGUGUGAAAAUCAUGAAGGUUGUACAGAAACAUCGAGCUGGGACAGAGGCAGAGAACAGCUGGAUGGCUAUGACAUCACAGAGAGGGGAGCAAAGGAGAGGAGAUGUGAGAUACUGAGGGUCCGAUGCACAGUUGCGGGAGAUGUACAGGGGCAGCUUCAUGCCUACAAAGUGGUGACAGCUUUGGUCUGCUGCGUGCUGCUGGUCCUGUUACUGAUCCGCUUCACCAGACCCACCGUCAAAGCCCUGCAGAAGAGACUAUCAGAAAGGAGGCAGAAUCGCUGGAUUGGACCUACACAGAGUCACAGUGUGUCUUACCAUCGCGGAAAAACUGCAGUUAAAAUCAAUGACGAAGAGAAGAGACUUUCCUACCCUGCUCUGGAGCGACUGGCAGUCAGUGAAAGCAGAGAGCCUUCAUCUAACAGGAACAGUGAUUACAACUUCUGACAUGCCUCUUCUUCUUGCAUAGUCAUCAUCAUCAUCAUCAUCAUCAUCAUCAUCAUCAUCAUCAUCAUCAUCAUCAUUUUAUAUGUGGGCUAAACAUAUGUUCAUAUUUGACUAUUUCCAAAGUGUAUCUUUGACAAUAUAUCACCCAUGUUAGGUUGAGGAAUUACUUAUAAAGACAUAAUUCAAGAUCAGGUGAAAUUGAUAAUUCACUUUUGAUAUACAUGCAUUUGCUGCAUCACAUACAAAAACUUCUGCUUUAAAAAAUAGUCAGUUUUUCCAACCAUCAAUGUGUGGUAUUGCAUCUAAACUCAAUUUAGCAGCCUUUUUUAUAAAUGAAAAUAGAAAUGUGUUUUUUUACUUUUAGCUAGGCUACCAGUUUUGUCUUAGUGCUAAGCUAGACAAAACACAUUUCAAUAAAACAGAGUAACUCACCACGUUUCCAAAAUGUUGAUUGGAUUGUAUUGAUCGGAAAAACAUUCAUGAAAAAACUCUGAGAAUAUUGAUUCAAUAACAUAUAAUUCACUGACAUUGUGACAUACGUUUUGUGUCUUUUGUUGACUGUUUGUGAUUUUUGAUUAAUAUUGUGAAGUUUUUGUUUUCAGUAAAAUUAUAUAAAUUG